RNAcentral lists this long non-coding RNA (1246 nucleotides) under Malus domestica (apple). RNAcentral's name for it is "long non-coding RNA (MDOM_LNC018117)". The record is from RNAcentral. Lineage: Eukaryota; Viridiplantae; Streptophyta; Magnoliopsida; Rosales; Rosaceae.
UAUGCAUAAAGGAUUCUAUUUACGCAUUAUUUCUUUGGGAGUCAAAGAGUACGUUCUCUUUGAGAAGAGCAACUCCUUAGUCUUACUAGAGUUGUCCAUUUGAUUGAAGUUCAUCAUCAUAUGAGAAACUUCCUAUCAUCUUUUUUCUAUAUUUAGGGCUUGAUAUAAUCCAAUUAUAUCCUAAAAUCUAUCAAUAUAGAUUUCCAUCCCAUAUAUAUAUACUAUGUCUCCCAUAUACAUUCUAUCUUCAUAUAAUGUUUUAAAGUCAUAACUUUAACGAAGAAGUAUUCUUUUCAUUUCCAAAAUUAAUAUAUCAUAUAUAUAUUUAAAAUUUUAGGAACAUGAUUAACUUCCAUAUACAUUCUAUCUUCAUAUAAUGUAUUAAAGUCAUAACUUUAGUGGAGAAGUAUUCUUUUCAUUUCCAAAAUUAAUAUAUCAUAUAUAUAUUUUAAAUUUUAGGAACAUUAUUAACUCCCACUAAUCUUUUGUAAACCUAGUAAACAAAAGAUUCAUUUACAUCUUUAUGAGAAAUCAAACGAUUUGGCAAUCCCUCCUAAUCCCCGGCCUAGAACGAUCCCUACUUACAUACUUGCUACAAUUGAUAAAAAGAGGGUUUAAUUUGUGUGCUUAUAGAUUUCGCAUCAGGAAUCAAGGUCUCAUCAAGAUCUGAACUCAUAUGAGAGACUGAACCACAUGAUUGAGAAUCAUGUAUAAUGGUGACGUUGUUAUUCUCAAGGUUGCUUCUAUAGAUAACAUAUAGAUAUCCAUUACCUAGGCCUACUACUCAGCCAUUUUUGAAAUGACUACAGAAGAGGUAUCAUCACUGAUAACCAAGUUGAUUGGCUCUAGUGCAAGUGGGAGAUUGUUGGAAAUGUGCCCUAAAACCAAUCAUAUGAUGAUACUUUACGGACAUUUCACAUGUUAAACUAGUCUAGUUUAAUAUCAAGGGCAAAGAUUAUUGUUUAAGCCGUCUUAUAUAAAUGUUAUAUGCUUAAACGAUAAGUCCAAGGAAUAUGUAAUUAGGAGAAUAUGAUUUAAACAAGUUAGAUUAAUGAGACCAUUCUCUUGUAUACAUAUCCUAAACGUUCCUGAUCUUAAGAUUGCUAAUUGGGCAUUGACAGUCCGUUAAGAUCAGUACAUGAUGUGUCUUCUCUCAGGGAGAGUGACUAGUCUCUAGUCAUUGGUGUGUGUGACAUCAAGACAAGCAUGUAGGUGCUCAAUAACGAAUGAGUCCACUGAACACGAU